AUGAACGCUGGCGGCGUGCCUAAUACAUGCAAGUCGAGCGAACAGACGAGGAGCUUGCUCCUCUGACGUUAGCGGCGGGCGGGUGAGUAACACGUGGAUAACCUACCUAUAAGACUGGGAUAACUUCGGGAAACCGGAGCUAAUACCGGAUAAUAUAUUGAACCGCAUGGUUCAAUAGUGAAAGACGGUUUUGCUGUCACUUAUAGAUGGAUCCGCGCCGCAUUAGCUAGUUGGUAAGGUAACGGCUUACCAAGGCAACGAUGCGUAGCCGACCUGAGAGGGUGAUCGGCCACACUGGAACUGAGACACGGUCCAGACUCCUACGGGAGGCAGCAGUAGGGAAUCUUCCGCAAUGGGCGAAAGCCUGACGGAGCAACGCCGCGUGAGUGAUGAAGGUCUUCGGAUCGUAAAACUCCGUUAUUAGGGAAGAACAAAUGUGUAAGUAACUAUGCACGUCUUGACGGUACCUAAUCAGAAAGCCACGGCUAACUACGUG
This 496-nucleotide ribosomal RNA is filed under the name uncultured bacterium. RNAcentral describes it as "partial 16S ribosomal RNA". It matches the Rfam family "Bacterial small subunit ribosomal RNA", at positions 29 to 507 of the family's 1533-position model. The record is from RNAcentral.